Podarcis raffonei (Aeolian wall lizard) is the source of this 932-nucleotide long non-coding RNA. RefSeq lists it as uncharacterized. NCBI's taxonomy places the organism in Eukaryota, Metazoa, Chordata, Lepidosauria, Squamata, Lacertidae. The transcript has 3 exons. The record is from RefSeq and is a predicted model, not a curated record.
GCUAAGCACCAUCCAGACUCAAUUUUGACUGUCGAUUGCCUUCCAUUGCCAUCACUCCCCACCCCUGCCCUGCCUCCACUUCGAUUGCUGUCCUGAGCCCAACAAGGAAGACAACCAGUGAAAUAUACUCAGGAGUCAAGAGUGGAUUUCAUGUUCUUUAUUCAACUCAUAGUGGUGAGGAGGAAUGGAAGUUCCCCCAGAAUGUCUGCUUUAUAUACAUUAUUUACACAAUGGGCCCCACGUGAUUGGCUAAUUCCGGGAUUCUCCUGUAGGCCAAUCAGGUUGCUGAUUCACUUCCACCUGGAGCUGGAUUGGGUGGCUCCUGUGGACCAAUUUGACUGCUGCAUUCUGGAUCCUAUUGUUCUAGGACCAAUCAGACUGCUGCAUUCUGAAUCCUAUUGUUCUUGGGCCAAUCAGACUGCUGCAUUCUGAAUCCUAUUGUUCUAGGACCAAUCAGACUGCUGCCUUUUGGAUCCUAUUCAACUCAGUACAUAACAACCAGAGUGCGUCUUCCUGCUUGUUUCAUGCGGGCUCAUACACACUUUGUUUGUCUGUCAAAAGCACGGGUCCGAACGGUUUUCUGUUUGUCCCAUCGCUUUUCCUGGGAAAGCCUGGGCCUUAGCUCUAAAGUCAGAGGGAAUGUGUGGAAGACCCAACUGACUUCACACCAAUUCAGAGCCUCCCCUUGUAGUUUCCAGCUAUCGUGCUCCAAUCUCUUAACAAGGAAUGAAAUUAUAGCAAUGUGAGCCCUGCCUGGGGGCCUCUCUCUUGAAAGCACCGAAGCAAGAAUGAUGUCCCACCUGCAUUAAGCCAACGGGUACGGAAGACAAGCCACGCUUGGCCAGGAAAAACAAUGGAAAUGGAUAUCCUGAAGGAAAGUAUUGCUGAUUGACUGGCACACCGAAGAGGCGAUGUCUGGAUUUUAAUUAAAU